GAGGGUGUAGCUCAGUGGUAGAGCACAUGCUUAACAUGCGUGAGGUCCUGGGUUCAAUCCCCAGUACCUCCA
Molecule: transfer RNA, 72 nt
Filed under: Camelus bactrianus (Bactrian camel)
Lineage: Eukaryota; Metazoa; Chordata; Mammalia; Artiodactyla; Camelidae
Also listed under: 2 other names
Rfam family: tRNA
About the family: Transfer RNA (tRNA) molecules are approximately 80 nucleotides in length. Their secondary structure includes four short double-helical elements and three loops (D, anti-codon, and T loops).
Source: Rfam by way of RNAcentral